RNAcentral lists this ribosomal RNA (227 nucleotides) under uncultured crenarchaeote. RNAcentral describes it as "partial 16S ribosomal RNA". It matches the Rfam family "Archaeal small subunit ribosomal RNA", at positions 694 to 920 of the family's 1478-position model. The record is from RNAcentral. Lineage: Archaea; Thermoproteati; Thermoproteota.
ACGGUGAGGGAUGAAAGCUGGGGGAGCAAACCGGAUUAGAUACCCGGGUAGUCCCAGCUGUAAACGAUGCAGACUCGAUAAUGCAUUGGCACAUAGCCAGUGCAGUGUCGCAGGGAAGCCGUUAAGUCUGCCGCCUGGGAAGUACGUACGCAAGUAUGAAACUUAAAGGAAUUGGCGGGGGAGCACCACAAGGGGUGAAGCCUGCGGUUCAAUUGGAGUCAACGCCU